Molecule: ribosomal RNA, 926 nt
Filed under: uncultured organism
Description: bacterial SSU rRNA
Rfam family: Bacterial small subunit ribosomal RNA
Source: RNAcentral
UGGAUCCAGACUUUGAUCCUGGCUCAGGAUGAACGCUAGCUACAGGCUUAACACAUGCAAGUCGAGGGGAAACGAUAGAGAAAGCUUGCUUUUUCUAGGCGUCGACCGGCGCACGGGUGAGUAACGCGUAUCCAACCUGCCCAUCACUUGGGGAUAACCUUGCGAAAGUAAGACUAAUACCCAAUGAUAUCUCUAGAAGACAUCUGAAGGAGAUUAAAGAUUCAUCGGUGAUGGAUGGGGAUGCGUCUGAUUAGCUUGUUGGCGGGGUAACGGCCCACCAAGGCAACGAUCAGUAGGGGUUCUGAGAGGAAGGUCCCCCACAUUGGAACUGAGACACGGUCCAAACUCCUACGGGAGGCAGCAGUGAGGAAUAUUGGUCAAUGGACGAGAGUCUGAACCAGCCAAGUAGCGUGCAGGAUGACGGCCCUAUGGGUUGUAAACUGCUUUUAUAAGAGAAUAAAGUGAGCUACGUGUAGCUUUUUGCAUGUACCUUAUGAAUAGGGACCGGCUAAUUCCGUGCCAGCAGCCGCGGUAAUACGGAAGGUCCGGGCGUUAUCCGGAUUUAUUGGGUUUAAAGGGAGCGUAGGCCGGAGAUUAAGCGUGUUGUGAAAUGUAGAUGCUCAACAUCUGCACUGCAGCGCGAACUGGUUUCCUUGAGUACGCACAAAGUGGGCGGAAUUCGUGGUGUAGCGGUGAAAUGCUUAGAUAUCACGAAGAACUCCGAUUGCGAAGGCAGCUCACUGGAGCGCAACUGACGCUGAAGCUCGAAAGUGCGGGUAUCGAACAGGAUUAGAUACCCUGGUAGUCCGCACGGUAAACGAUGGAUGCCCGCUGUUGGUCUGAAUAGGUCAGCGGCCAAGCGAAAGCAUUAAGCAUCCCACCUGGGGAGUACGCCGGCAACGGUGCAACUCAAAGGAAUUGACGGA